Xyrauchen texanus (razorback sucker) is the source of this 690-nucleotide long non-coding RNA. RefSeq lists it as uncharacterized. Lineage: Eukaryota; Metazoa; Chordata; Actinopteri; Cypriniformes; Catostomidae. The record is from RefSeq and is a predicted model, not a curated record. The transcript has 4 exons.
AAGAAACAACAAAAUACGAUGCAUUACAUUUACAUUUAUGCAUUUGGCAGACGCUUUUAUCAAAGCGACUUACAGAGACUUUAUUACAGGGACAAUCCCCCCGGAGCAACCUGGAGUUAAGUGCCUUGCUCAAGGACACAAUGGUGGUGGCUGUGGGGAUCGAACCAGCAACCUUCUGAUUACCAGUUUACCAGUUAUGUGCUUUAGACCACUACACCAUCACCACUCCAGUACAGCAUUACACUCUAGAUGAUAAACUGACAGAUGAGUGAGGACCCGGUGCGUACCUGGGCAUUGAGGUCCUGGUCCAGACCCAGUCUGCCACUGAAGCUGGAUUUGUGCGAGUGAAGAGACGAGUGGCCAAGCCAGCUGAGUGUUCGAUACGGAGUGGACAGCGUCUCUUCAGCCGGCAAGGAAGGCCUGGAUAAACAGAGACACUUACUGAACUGCACUGAAGCAUUUGAGGAGUGUGGACCCUGAUGUACAAGAAGUCACCCUGCAGUUUCUUGAAGCCAGGGGGCGGGUUCCAACAGCUGAGUGACAGGUCGAGCAGACAGCAAUGAGAUCUGAGAUUGAGAGCUAUGAAAGAGAAGCAUCGGAGCAAGUUUCCACUGGAAAAAUGAAAAACAAAGUGUUAUAUUCCCAUACUUCGCUGUGUGUGUUAGUGGGCAGCAGGGUCGUCAGCGGAGG